This 2236-nucleotide long non-coding RNA is filed under the name Salmo salar (Atlantic salmon). RNAcentral describes it as "lncRNA (ENSSSAG00000113494.1, ENSSSAG00075065432.1)". The record is from RNAcentral. Lineage: Eukaryota; Metazoa; Chordata; Actinopteri; Salmoniformes; Salmonidae.
AUAUUUACAUAUGCAUACAGAGGCCCAUUAUCAGCAACCAUCACUUCUGUGUUCCAAUGGCACGUUGUGUUAGCUAAUCCAAGUUUGUCAUUUUAAAAGGCUAAUUGAUCAUUAGAAAACUAUUUUGCAAUUGUGUUAGCACAGCUGAAAACUGUUGUCUGAUUAAAGAAGCAAUAAAACUGGCCAUCUUUAGACUAGUUGAGUAUCUGGAGCAUCAGCAUUUGUGGGUUCGAUUACAGGCUCAAAAUGGCUAGAAACAAAGAAAUUUCUUCUGAAACUCGUCAGUCUAUUCUUGUUGAGAAAUGAAGGCUAUUCCAUGCGAGAAAUUGCCAAGAAACUGAAGAUCUCGUACAAUGCGAUGUACUACUCCCUUCACAGAACAGUGAAAACUGGCUCUAACCAGAAUAGAAAGAGGAGUGGGAGGCCCCGGUGCACAACUGAUCAAGAGGACAAGUACAUUAGAGUGUCUAGUUUGACAAACAGACUCCUCACAAGUCCUCAACUGGCAGCUUCAUUAAAUAGUACCCACAAAACACCAGUCUCAAUGUCAACAGUGAAGAUGCUGGCCUUCUAGGCAGAGUUCCUCUGUCCAGUAUCUGUGUUCUUUUUUUUUCUUUUGGAAAAGUUUUAUUGUUACACUUCCUUUAAAAACAGCUCAAUUAUAUUUGUACAACAUUUAUACACAUAAAAACGGCAUAAAGGCAUAAAAACAGCAUUUGAAUAUCAAAUCAAAUGUAUUUAUAUAGCCCUUCUUACAUCAGCUGAUAUCUCAAAGUGCUGUACAGAAACCCAGCCUAAAACCCCAAACAGCAAGCAAUGCAGGUGUAGAAGCAUGGUGGCUAGGAAAAACUCCCUAGAAAGGCCAAAACCUAGGAAGAAACCUAGAGAGGAACCAGGCUAUGAGGGGUGGCCAGUCCUCUUCUGGCUGUGCCGGGUGGAGAUAAUAACAGCACAUGGCCUAGAUGUUCAAAUGUUCAUAAAUGACCAGCAUGGUCAAAUAAUAAUAAUCAUAGUAGUUGUCGAGGGUGCAACAAGUCAGUAACACAAGAGUAAGUGUCAGUUGGCUAUUUCAUAGCCGAUCUUUGAGAGUAUCUCUACCGCUCCUGCUGUCUCUAGAGAGUUGAAAACAGCAGGUCUGGGACAGGUAGCACGUCCGGUGAACAGGUCAGGGUUCCAUAGCUGCAGGCAGAACAGUUGGAACUGGAGCAGCAGCACGGCCAGGUGAACUGGGGACAGCAAGGAGUCAUCAAGCCAGGUAGUCCUGAAGCAUGGUCCUAGGGCUCAGGUCCUCCGAGAGAGAGAAAGAAAGAAAGAGAAAGAGAGAAUUAGAGUUAGAAUAUUAGAAUAUUACAUUUAAAUUUGUUAAAAAGUACAUGUUGCUUAUUUAAAAACAAUAGAAACAACCAUGAAUAAAAGUACUUUUUCUUGUAAAACAUCCAAUCUGUAAAAGCCAUUUAAAAUGUGUACAAAAUAAUUUUUUAAAGACAUGAAAACAUGUUAAAAGGUCACUUUGUUAAAAAGCUGUCUUCGGUCCUUUGUACAGGAACGGGUGAGUCCUUAUCAACUCGCCUCCUCCUGCUCUUCCGAAUCAAUAACCGUCCUGUCCUUCGGGGCCCAGAGGAGAUCCCUCCCCUAGGCGCAUCGCCCUAGGCGCCGCAGCACUGUCAGGCAGUGGCUGCCGGGACCUUGGGUGUUGUGGGGGACCCUACGCCUGGGGGUCGAGGCCUCCUUUCUUCUGUACCAUCCCAGGGCUUCCGUGGCUACCAUGGCCACUACCUGGGGGAUGGUCUCUACUCAUUUUGCUACCAGCAGGUUGCGGGAGGACCACAGUGCAUCCUUCAGACACGUGAGGGUGGGUCAGAGCUUGGGGAAGGCCUUCGCUGGAAUAGGCCUUCGGCCCACCCCAUACAGCACGUGCUGGGGCGUUAGGUCGUCCCCUGCUGGCAGACACGAGGAGAUCAGGGGGCCUGCUUCCUUCCACAGGUCCCUGGCGGCUCUGCACUCCCAGAGCAAGUGCCUCACCGACUCAUCUUGGCCGCAGUCUGGUCGGGGGCACUCGGGUGUCCUCGCCAUGCCCUGGGAGUGCAUAACGGCCCUGACUGGAAGGAUCUCGCGGGCGACCAUCCAGGACAGGUCCCGUUGCCGGUUCAGCAGAACAGGAUGGGCCACGUUGCACCAAACCGUUGUGGGUUCGCCUGUAACAUGCCCGCACACUGGACACACUGGUUCCUGCUCC